AUCCUGCCGGAGGCCAUUGCUAUCGGAGUCCGAUUUAGCCAUGCUAGUCGUGCGAGUUCAGACUCGCGGCACCGAGCUCAGUAACACGUGGCCAAACUACCCUACAGAGACGGAUACCCUCGGGAAACUGAGGUUAACCCGUCAUACCGAUCUCAGGCUUGAAUCGCAGAGAUCACAAAAUGCCCCGGCGCUGUAGGAUGUGGCUGCGGUUGAUUAGGUAGACGGUGGGGUAACGGCCCACCGUGCCCAUAAUCAGUACAGGUUGUGAGAGCAAGAACCUGGAGACGGAAUCUGAGACAAGAUUCCGGGCCCUACGGGGCGCAGCAGGCGCGAAACCUUUACACUGCACGCACGUGCGAUAAGGGGACUCCGAGUGCGAGGGCAUAUCGUCCUCGCUUUCGUGUACCGUAGGGUGGUACACCAACAAGGGCUGGGCAAGACCGGUGCCAGCCGCCGCGGUAAUACCGGCAGCCCGAGUGAUGGCCGAUCUUAUUGGGCCUAAAGCGUCCGUAGCUGGCCAACCAAGUCUAUCGGGAAAUCCACCUGCCCAACGGGUGGGCGUCCGGUAGAAACUGGCUGGCUUGGAACCGGAAGGCUCAGAGAGUACGUCCGGGGUAGGAGUGAAAUCCCGUAAUNCNGGACGGACCACCGGUGGCGAAAGCGCCUCGAGAGGACGGACCCGACGGUGAGGAACGAAAGCCAGGGUCUCGAACCGGAUUAGAUACCCGGGUAGUCCUGGCCGUAAACGAUGUCUGCUAGGUGUGGCACAGGCUACGAGCCUGUGCUGUGCCGCAGGGAAGCCGUGAAGCAGACCGCCUGGGAAGUACGUCUGCAAGGAUGAAACUUAAAGGAAUUGGCGGGGGAGCACUACAACCGGAGGAGCCUGCGGUUUAAUUGGACUCAACGCCGGACAUCUCACCGGCACCGACAACAGUGACGACGGUCAGGUUGAUGACCUUACCCGAGUUGUUGAGAGGAGGUGCAUGGCCGCCGUCAGCUCGUACCGUGAGGCGUCCUGUUAAGUCAGGCAACGAGCGAGACCCGCAUCCUUAGUUGCCAGCAACACCAUUGGUGGUUGGGUACACUAAGGAGACUGCCGCUGCUAAAGCGGAGGAAGGAACGGGCAACGGUAGGUCAGUAUGCCCCGAAUGGGCUGGGCAACACGCGGGCUACAAUGGGCAGGACAAUGGGUUCCAACACCGAGAGGUGGAGGUAAUCUCAGAAACCUGCUCGUAGUUCGGAUUGCGGACUGAAACUCGUCCGCAUGAAGCUGGAUUCGGUAGUAAUCGCGUGUCAGCAGCGCGCGGUGAAUACGUCCCUGCUCCUUGUACACACCGCCCGUCA
RNAcentral lists this ribosomal RNA (1344 nucleotides) under uncultured Haloquadratum sp. Its description in RNAcentral is "bacterial SSU rRNA". It matches the Rfam family "Archaeal small subunit ribosomal RNA". The record is from RNAcentral. Lineage: Archaea; Methanobacteriati; Methanobacteriota; Halobacteria; Halobacteriales; Haloferacaceae.